RNAcentral lists this transfer RNA (70 nucleotides) under Stegodyphus mimosarum. It matches the Rfam family "tRNA". Rfam says of the family: Transfer RNA (tRNA) molecules are approximately 80 nucleotides in length. The record is from Rfam by way of RNAcentral. Lineage: Eukaryota; Metazoa; Arthropoda; Arachnida; Araneae; Eresidae.
GCCUUCGUGGUGUAGUGGUCAUGCUCGACGCGUAACCGAGAGGUCAGUGGUUCGAUUCCCGGCGAAGGCG